UACAGAGGUCCCGAGCGUUGUUCGGAUUCACUGGGCGUAAAGGGUGCGUAGGUGGCAUGUUAAGUUUGAUGUGAAAGCUCAGGGCUUAACCCUGAAAUGGCAUUGAAUACUAGCGUGCUGGAGGUUUGGAGGGGGGGACUGGAAUUCUCGGUGUAGCAGUGAAAUGCGUAGAUAUCGAGAGGAACACCAGUGGCGAAGGCGAGUCCCUGGACAACACCUGACACUGAGGAGCGAAAGCGUGGGGAGCGAACAGG
This 254-nucleotide ribosomal RNA is filed under the name uncultured bacterium. RNAcentral's name for it is "partial 16S ribosomal RNA". It matches the Rfam family "Bacterial small subunit ribosomal RNA", at positions 524 to 776 of the family's 1533-position model. The record is from RNAcentral.